UCUGGUGGCGAUAGCGAAGAGGUCACACCCGUUCCCAUCCCGAACACGGAAGUUAAGCUCUUCAGCGCCGAUGGUAGUUGGGGGAUUCCCCCUGUGAGAGUAGGACGCUGCCGGGC
RNAcentral lists this ribosomal RNA (116 nucleotides) under Bacillus aerolatus. Lineage: Bacteria; Bacillati; Bacillota; Bacilli; Caryophanales; Bacillaceae. The record is from RNAcentral.